GGUUGUGGCUCAGCAGUAGAGCGCUUGCCUUACAUGUGAGAGACCCUGGGUUUGAUCCCCAGCACCA
Molecule: transfer RNA, 67 nt
Filed under: Marmota marmota marmota (Alpine marmot)
Lineage: Eukaryota; Metazoa; Chordata; Mammalia; Rodentia; Sciuridae
Also listed under: 3 other names
Rfam family: tRNA
About the family: Transfer RNA (tRNA) molecules are approximately 80 nucleotides in length. Their secondary structure includes four short double-helical elements and three loops (D, anti-codon, and T loops).
Source: Rfam by way of RNAcentral